Molecule: long non-coding RNA, 480 nt
Filed under: Physcomitrium patens
Lineage: Eukaryota; Viridiplantae; Streptophyta; Bryopsida; Funariales; Funariaceae
Description: long non-coding RNA (PPAT_LNC011093)
Source: RNAcentral
AUAAAAUCUUUUAUAUUUAAGAAGGUUUGUACAUAAAGCUUUCUAAAAUAUCUAGGAAUUUUCUAACAUUCUUAAUUAUAUCAAAUCAUAACUAAUUAUUUGCUCAUAAGUUAGAUUUUCAAUAAUUCCAAAAAGAAUCUAUAAUCUCCUCUCAAAAACUCAUCUUUAUAUCAAAAUUUAACUAUAGCUCCAUAUAUCCAUCUUCAACAUAUACGUAAAGUCUUGACUUCAAAAAAAACAUCUCUACUUUGUAUAAAAUACUUAAUUUAUAAUAAAAUCCCUUCAAAUUAUAUUUUUCUCGCAAAGGUUUUCUUCUUUCUAAAUUUUAGAAAUUCAUAUCUCUUGAUCCAUCUGUUUAAUUUUUGUCAAACUUAUAAAUAAUAUAGAAUUUAUUCUUAAGCAUUACUAAAAAAAAUUCAACCAUAAAUUUUCUACUAAUUGUCUGACAUCUUAAAAAUCCUAGCAAGUGCUUCAAAUCUU